GAUGAACGCUGGCGGCGUGCCUAAUACAUGCAAGUCGAGCGAACAGAUAAGGAGCUUGCUCCUUUGACGUUAGCGGCGGACGGGUGAGUAACACGUGGAUAACCUACCUAUAAGACUGGGAUAACUUCGGGAAACCGGAGCUAAUACCGGAUAACAUAUUGAACCGCAUGGUUCAAUAGUGAAAGGCGGCUUUGCUGUCACUUAUAGAUGGAUCCGCGCCGUAUUAGCUAGUUGGUAAGGUAACGGCUUACCAAGGCAACGAUACGUAGCCGACCUGAGAGGGUGAUCGGCCACACUGGAACUGAGACACGGUCCAGACUCCUACGGGAGGCAGCAGUAGGGAAUCUUCCGCAAUGGGCAAAAGCCUGACGGAGCAACGCCGCGUGAGUGAUGAAGGUCUUCGGAUCGUAAAACUCUGUUAUCAGGGAAGAACAAAUGUGUAAGUAACUGUGCACAUCUUGACGGUACCUGAUCAGAAAGCCACGGCUAACUACGUG
Molecule: ribosomal RNA, 497 nt
Filed under: uncultured bacterium
Lineage: Bacteria
Description: partial 16S ribosomal RNA
Rfam family: Bacterial small subunit ribosomal RNA
Source: RNAcentral